RNAcentral lists this unclassified non-coding RNA (379 nucleotides) under uncultured bacterium. RNAcentral's name for it is "contains 16S-23S intergenic spacer region". The record is from RNAcentral.
UCCGGUCUGUCACCGGCAGUCUCAUUAGAGUGCCCAACUUAAAUGUAGCAACUAAUGACAAGGGUUGCGCUCGUUGCGGGACUUAACCCAACAUCUCACGACACGAGCUGACGACAGCCAUGCAGCACCUGUGUUACCGCUCCCUUUCGGGCACACCCAGCUCUCACCGGGCUUCCAGACAUGUCAAGGGUAGGUAAGGUUGUUCGCGUUGCAUCGAAUUAAUCCACAUCAUCCACCGCUUGUGCGGGUCCCCGUCAAUUCCUUUGAGUUUUAGCCUUGCGGCCGUACUCCCCAGGCGGGAUGCUUAAAGCGUUAGCUGCGGCACGGGGGGGGUCGACACCUCCCACACCUAGCAUCCACCGUUUAGGGCGUGGACUAC